This 616-nucleotide ribosomal RNA is filed under the name Penicillium sp. JCM 28575. RNAcentral describes it as "eukaryotic LSU rRNA". It matches the Rfam family "Eukaryotic large subunit ribosomal RNA", at positions 38 to 667 of the family's 3401-position model. The record is from RNAcentral. Lineage: Eukaryota; Fungi; Ascomycota; Eurotiomycetes; Eurotiales; Aspergillaceae.
GCAUAUCAAUAAGCGGAGGAAAAGAAACCAACAGGGAUUGCCCCAGUAACGGCGAGUGAAGCGGCAAGAGCUCAAAUUUGAAAGCUGGCUCCUUCGGGGUCCGCAUUGUAAUUUGCAGAGGAUGCUUCGGGAGCGGUCCCCAUCUAAGUGCCCUGGAACGGGACGUCAUAGAGGGUGAGAAUCCCGUAUGGGAUGGGGUGUCCGCGCCCGUGUGAAGCUCCUUCGACGAGUCGAGUUGUUUGGGAAUGCAGCUCUAAAUGGGUGGUAAAUUUCAUCUAAAGCUAAAUAUUGGCCGGAGACCGAUAGCGCACAAGUAGAGUGAUCGAAAGAUGAAAAGCACUUUGAAAAGAGAGUUAAAAAGCACGUGAAAUUGUUGAAAGGGAAGCGCUUGCGACCAGACUCGCUCGCGGGGUUCAGCCGGCAUUCGUGCCGGUGUACUUCCCCGCGAGCGGGCCAGCGUCGGUUUGGGCGGUCGGUCAAAGGCCUCUGGAAGGUAACGCCCCCUCGGGGGCGUCUUAUAGCCAGGGGUGCAAUGCGGCCUGCCCGGACCGAGGAACGCGCUUCGGCUCGGACGCUGGCAUAAUGGUCGUAAGCGACCCGUCUUGAAACACGGACC